GAAGAGCCAAACAGGACACGGUGUCCAGAGGGGCGUGGAAGUCGCUGCAGCAAACAAGUCCCCAAAUGUCCAAUAAAUAGAUUUGCCACCGCAGAGUCUAUUCUAUUUUGCAGCAGCUCACACCGCCGUUGAUUCGUGUCAGAAGGAAAAAGUCGUUGGUGGAAAACGAAGAUGAGAAAGGAAGACACAGUGAAGCUGAUCAGCGCCGAGGGUUUCGAGUUCGUGAUCGACAAGGAAGCGGCCAUGGUUUCCCAGACCAUCCGCAACAUGCUCACCUCUCCAGGUAGUUUCGCUGAGACGCAGCAUGGAGAAGUGACAUUUCCGGAGAUAAGCACUACUAUUCUAGAGAAAAUUUGCCAGUAUUUCUACUGGUCCCUUCAAUAUGCCAAGGGAAAGGAGAGUGAAUUCCAUAUUGAACCGGAGCUGACCCUGGAACUAAUGAUGGCUGCUAAUUAUCUCCAUACUUAACCAAAUUAUUUUGCUUGCUUCUCGGGUCUUGCAUAAGACUGUAAGCUUAUUGGUAAACAGGAUUGUUUCGCGAGAAGGCUCACAAUCUUAAGAUUUAUACACUCUGGUAUCAUAGAUAGGGAUGUAUUCGUGGGGGGCAUUUUAAGGUCAUUUAUUCUGCCAACUUGUAAUGGCAUUGAAGUAACUUUGAACAGAUUUUGGACUUCAUAGGAUAGAAUGCUGCCUGCGACUUGGCUACUAUCAACUGCACAUAUGUUAAUCUUAACAUAAUGCACUGGGUUAUGUGUUGGUGUC
Manihot esculenta (cassava) is the source of this 762-nucleotide RNA transcript. It is a transcript of the gene named elongin-C, with no coding region annotated. Lineage: Eukaryota; Viridiplantae; Streptophyta; Magnoliopsida; Malpighiales; Euphorbiaceae. The record is from RefSeq and is a predicted model, not a curated record. The transcript is spliced from 4 exons.